CGUCAUCACCAUCACUUCUCCCCUAGAGGUGUCAUCGCCAUCCCAAACUCUGAAAAACAACUCUGACUUCGCCAAAGGCGAUCAUCAAACCAACCCACCCUGAAUAGGCCGUGCGGAAUCACAUGAAGAUCCACAUCGGACCUCAGCCACUACAACAAGAAAGCACAGCUCUAACACCAACAGAGAGCUACGAAUGAACCAAGCAGCUGUGAAGUCGAAGCUACAGUGGCAGGGCCCGGUGGCAUAUGCUGACGAGUAGGUGGUCCGUUCGGUGAUCUUCCUCAACACGUAGUAUGACUUCAGUGCACACGACACAGUAUAUGCCCCCAUGGAGACCGACAACAGAACAACAGUUCCACAAGCAUGAGCACACUUGAAUUCAGGUGAGAGUGUGACCACUCCCAUUCCUGUCACGUAGAAAGAAGAAAACUCCCGUUUCGUACAGAAAUUCCAUGAGAAGCAAAAUGGCGUCACGUCGUAUUAUUUGUAUUCUUCGUUCUACGAAUCAGCAAAACCAGAUCACGACUCGGACACGAUUCACAUGGAGCACCUAUCUCACGCUUUUUCGACGCUGUAGCCAGGCUGCCUCUCUUCCUCAUCACUUAUUUAAGACGCCUGUCUGGGUUAAAAAAUCGUGACCGAACAAUGACCGGCGGUAUGUAAGGCCUUCCACAGCGUAGCCGGUGCCAAAUACAUCAAAAGGCAGCCACCUCAUCACCGGUGCCCAAAAUUGCUUUUCAGGCAUCGAUCUCACAACGUAGGGCUUCGGCAGGAAAAAGAUUUUGGGACCCAUAUGAUAAACAAGUACACCACGCUGCUGUGUAUUGAGCAAAGAGAGAGAAGACAUUCGCUGUUCAAAGUUGAGAGUUAAUAGUAUUUUAUUGGCUGGAGGAAUUGGGCAUCGUGUUCUUACUUGCUCCGAUGCCAUGAAAAUUUUGUUGGGGCACCGGCCUCACAACGUGAGGGCACCGGCUAUCGGAGCCAGAAGUUAAUUUGGCACCUCUUUUGGCCUACAUAAUGGAAGGUCUAAGAGGUGGGUUUGAGAGAUCGGUUGUAGAUGCUCUUAAUAAGCUAGUACUAGAAGAAGAACAUGUAUAGGGGAGGAAGGGGACAUAAGUGAAUCCCGAACGAAAGCACGUACCUGCGGGUGAUGGCCGAGUCAAGAAACACGGUCGACGUUCGUGAUCGAGUUGGCGCCGUGCCGGAGCUAAUUCAAGGGAAUGCCGCCGCCUUCCAACCGGAGACGAGACUGUAUUAUGUGGCUGACAACCUGCGCAGCUUUCAAACAUGGUGGCUCCUUUUGGAAAAGGCUCGGAGUGGAGACCCCAACCGUGUCACUCGUGUCAUACAUAUGCACCUUACAAAGGGCUGCGAGCUUUACUACACAGAUGUGUUGGGUGUUCAUUUGGUUUUAACAAAUUUGAGACCUUAUCUUUUUUUUGUUGGGUUUGCAGCUUUUAUGUCAUUUUAAAUACAUAUGUGUAUGCUGUCAAUACACUAUAGAUUAACAUACACUAGUGUCAAAAACGCUUUUAUAUUAUAAAACGGAGGGAGUAGUCUGAUUUUCUCAACACGUAAGGGCUUCUUUGAUUCAAAGGAAUUGCAUAGGAUUUUUGGAGGAUUUGAAUCCUUAGGAAUUUUUCCUGUGAUGCUCGUUUGAUUCGUAGGAUUGGCAUCCUUAGGAAUUUUUCCAUAGGAUCCAUUUGUACUACAUUUUGGAGGAAAAUUUGCAUCCACUGAAACCUCUUUGUAGGAUUCCUUUGUUUUUCCUGCGCUAUCAAACAUUCUUUGAGAUCCUGUAGGAUACUAUGGGACAUGUCAUCCUAUUCCUGCAUUUUUCCUAUUCCUUCAUUUUGACAAUCCUGCGAAUCAAAGAGGCCCUAAAUUUUUUUUUAAACGGAGGCAAAAGAUUUGGCUCAUUCAUUAAUUAAGCAGAAAAGAACUGCCCAGUUAAUUAAUGAAAAACCAGGCGAAAAUCAUCACAAACUACUGAGUGACACCAAUGAAAGACCUACACGCGCCACUCACAAGAGGGCCUCGUCAAGACUGCACGUCGACAUCAUCGCCAUCACUUCUCCCCUAGAGGCAUCAUUGCCAUCCCAAACUAUGAGAAACGACUCCAACUUCACCUCAAGAGGGCCUCGUCAAGACCGCACCUCGAGCGUCAUCACCAUCAUUUCUCCCCUAGAGGUGUCAUCGCCAUCCCAAACUCUGAAAAACAACUCUGACUUCGCCAAAGGCGAUCAUCAAACCAACCCACCCUGAAUAGGCCGUGCGGAAUCACAUGAAGAUCCACAUCGGACCUCAGCCACUACAACAAGAAAGCACAGCUCUAACACCAACAGAGAGCUACGAAUGAACCAAGCAGCUGUGAAGUCGAAGCUACAGUGGCAGGGCCCGGUGGCAUAUGCUGACGAGUAGGUGGUCCGUUCGGUGAUCUUCCUCAACACGUAGUAUGACUUCAGUGCACACGACACAGUAUAUGCCCCCCUGGAGACCGACAACAGAACAACAGUUCCACAAGCAUGAGCACACUUGAAUUCAGGUGAGAGUGUGACCACUCCCAUUCCUGUCACGUAGAAAGAAGAAAACUCCCGUUUCGUACAGAAAUUCCAUGAGAAGCAAAAUGGCGCCACGUCGUAUUAUUUGUAUUCUUUGUUCUACGAAUCAGCAAAACCAGAUCACGACUCGGACACGAUUCACAUGGAGCACCUAUCUCACGCUUUUUCGACGCGGUAGCCAGGCUGCCUCUCUUCCUCAUCACUUAUUUAAGACGCCCGUCUGGGUUAAAAAAUCGUGACCGAACAAUGACCGGCGGUAAGGCCUUCCACAGCGUAGCCGGUGCCAAAUACAUCAAAAGGCAGCCACCUCAUCACCGGUGCCCAAAAUUGCUUUUCAGGCAUCGAUCUCACAACGUAGGGCUUCGGCAGGAAAAAGAUUUUGGGACCCAUAUGAUAAACAAGUACACCACGCUGCUGUGUAUUGAGCAAAGAGAGAGAAGACAUUUGCUGUUCAAAGUUGAGAGUUAAUAGUAUUUUAUUGGCUGGAGGAAUUGGGCAUCGUGUUCUUACUUGCUCCGAUGCCAUGAAAAUUUUGUUGGGGCACCGGCCUCACAACGUGAGGGCACCGGCUAUCGGAGGCAGAAGUUAAUUUGGCACCUCUUUUGGCCUACAUAAUGGAAGGUCUAAGAGGUGGGUUUGAGAGAUCGGUUGUAGAUGCUCUUAAUAAACUAGUACUAGAAGAAGAACAUGUAUAGGGGAGGAAGGGGACAUAAGUGAAUCCCGAACGGAAGCACGUACCUGCGGGUGAUGGCCGAGUCGAGAAACACGGUCGACGUUCGUGAUCGAGUUGGCGCCGUGCCGGAGCUAAUUCAAGGGAAUGCCGCCGCCUUCCAACCGGAGACGAGACUGUAUUAUGUGGCUGACAACCUGCGCAGCUUUCAAACAUGGUGGCUCCUUUUGGAAAAGGCUCGGAGUGGAGACCCCAACCGUGUCACUCGUGUCAUACAUAUGCACCUUACAAAGGGCUGCGAGCUUUACUACACAGAUGUGUUGGGUGUACAUUUGGUUUUAACAAAUUUGAGACCUUAUCUUUUUUUUGUUGGGUUUGCAGCUUUUAUGUCAUUUUAAAUACAUAUGUGUAUGCUGUCAAUACACUAUAGAUUAACAUACACUAAUGUCAAAAACGCUUUUAUAUUAUAAAACGGAGGAAGUAGUCUGAUUUUCUCAACACGUAAGGGCUUCUUUGAUUCAAAGGAAUUGCAUAGGAUUUUUGGAGGAUUUGAAUCCUUAGGAAUUUUUCCUGUGAUGCUCGUUUGAUUCGUAGGAUUGGCAUUCUUAGGAAUUUUUCCAUAGGAUCCAUUUGUACUACAUUUUGGAGGAAAAUUUUCAUCCACUCAAACCUCUUUGUAGGAUUCCUUUGUUUUUCCUGCGCUAUCAAACAUUCUUUGAGAUCCCGUAGGAUACUAUGGGACAUGUCAUCCUAUUCCUGCAUUUUUCCUAUUCCUUCAUUUUGACAAUCCUGCGAAUCAAAGAGGCCCUAAAUUUUUUUUUAAACGGAGGCAAAAGAUUUGGCUCAUUCAUUAAUUAAGCAGAAAAGAACUGCCCAGUUAAUUAAUGAAAAACCAGGCGAAAAUCAUCACAAACUACUGAGUGACACCAAUGAAAGACCUACACGCGCCACUCACAAGAGGGCCUCGUCAAGACUGCACGUCGACAUCAUCGCCAUCACUUCUCCCCUAGAGGCAUCAUUGCCAUCCCAAACUAUUGAGAAACGACUCCAACUUCACCUCAAGAGGGCCUCGUCAAGACCACACCUGGCGCGUCAUCACCAUCACUUCUCCCCUAGAGGUGUCAUCGCCAUCCCAAACUCUGAAAAACAACUCUGACUUCGCCAAAGGCGAUCAUCAAACCAACCCACCCUGAAUAGGCCGUGCAGAAUCACAUGAAGAUCCACAUCGGACCUCAGCCACUACAACAAGAAAGCACAGCUCUAACACCAACAGAGAGCUACGAAUGAACCAAGCAGCUGUGAAGUCGAAGCUACAGUGGCAGGGCCCGGUGGCAUAUGCUGACGAGUAGGUGGUCCGUUCGGUGAUCUUCCUCAACACGUAGUAUGACUUCAGUGCACACGACACAGUAUAUGCCCCCCUGGAGACCGACAACAGAACAACAGUUCCACAAGCAUGAGCACACUUGAAUUCAGGUGAGAGUGUGACCACUCCCAUUCCUGUCACGUAGAAAGAAGAAAACUCCCGUUUCGUACAGAAAUUCCAUGAGAAGCAAAAUGGCGCCACGUCGUAUUAUUUGUAUUCUUCGUUCUACGAAUCAGCAAAACCAGAUCACGACUCGGACACGAUUCACAUGGAGCACCUAUCUCACGCUUUUUCGACGCGGUAGCCAGGCUGCCUCUCUUCCUCAUCACUUAUUUCCACCAUGGAGAUGGUGGCCUCCAUCAGGCCGUAACUUUCUUCGACGUCACUGAGUUGCAGAUGGUGGCAAAGUCCGG
This 5007-nucleotide long non-coding RNA is filed under the name Triticum aestivum (bread wheat). RNAcentral's name for it is "long non-coding RNA (TAES_LNC007652)". The record is from RNAcentral. Lineage: Eukaryota; Viridiplantae; Streptophyta; Magnoliopsida; Poales; Poaceae.